ACGGGAGUGGCGAAAUCCGGUAGACGCACCAGAUUUAGAUUCUGGCACUGCAAAGUAUGCGAGUUCAAAUCUCGCCUCCCGUA
Molecule: transfer RNA, 83 nt
Filed under: Arsenophonus sp.
Lineage: Bacteria; Pseudomonadati; Pseudomonadota; Gammaproteobacteria; Enterobacterales; Morganellaceae
Description: tRNA-Leu
Rfam family: tRNA
About the family: Transfer RNA (tRNA) molecules are approximately 80 nucleotides in length. Their secondary structure includes four short double-helical elements and three loops (D, anti-codon, and T loops).
Source: RNAcentral